UGGAGUUCACACAACAAAUGACGUCUCUGC
This 30-nucleotide non-coding RNA is filed under the name Rattus norvegicus (Norway rat). The record is from RNAcentral. Lineage: Eukaryota; Metazoa; Chordata; Mammalia; Rodentia; Muridae.